This 2154-nucleotide long non-coding RNA is filed under the name Ficedula albicollis (Collared flycatcher). RNAcentral describes it as "lncRNA (ENSFALG00000023741.1)". Lineage: Eukaryota; Metazoa; Chordata; Aves; Passeriformes; Muscicapidae. The record is from RNAcentral.
GUUUAUCGCUGCCCCGCCCUGCAAACAGCCCGGGGCUGAGAGAGAGGCGGGAAUCUGCCCCUGGAGGGAGAAAAAUGCGGAAUCCAGCGCUGCAGGUGAUUCACCCGCGGGGAAUCGGAGCUGCCCUGCCCUGCCCUGCCGCUCCUGCUGCUUUUGUCCGCACGGAAAUCCCGCGGCAGCGGUGCCCAGGGACCCCCGGGCAGCCAAACAUCACCAGGAUUAAUUGGAGAUGCUUUAAAUACCCUGGCCGUGCUCCCUUUCCGCUGUUGGCAGUCCCGCUGACGCAAUACUGCUGUUGUUAAUAAUGAUAAUUAUAUUAAUAAUGAUGCUCCCAGCGCGUUUCCCCUCUGAAGGGUUCACGGAGAGGAUUUUGGCUGAGCUCAGGAAAUCCCCUUUAUCUGCUCUAACCGCAGCAGGGCCGGGGCUCUCAGACCUGCUGGCAAUUCCUCAAACGCGUUUUGGUAAAUCGAGUCACGGGCUCGGGGAGACGCAGCCCCCAGGCAGCACCGGCGGCGGUUGUGACAGUUUUUGUUGUCACCGACAUCGGGUGGAGGUGUGGGGUCACCUGUGGGGUCACCUAUGGGGUCACCUAUGGGGUCGGUUUGGGGUCAGUGUCACCAGGAAUUGCAGGUUUGGGGUCAGUGUCAUCAGGGGCUGCAGGUUUGGGGUCAGUGUCACCAGGAAUUGCAGGUUUGGGGUCAGUGUCAUCAGGGGCUGCAGGUUUGGGGUCAGUGUCACCAGGAAUUGCAGGUUUGGGGUCAGUGUCAUCAGGGGCUGCAGGUUUGGGGUCAGUGUCACCAGGAGCUGCAGGUUUGGGGUCACUGUCACCAGGAGCUGCAGGUGUGGGGUCAGUGUCACCAUGGGAUGCAGGUGUGGGGUCAGUGUCACCACUGCCUGAAGGUUUGGGGUCAGUGUCACCAGGGGCUGCAGAGGCAGGGGCUGAUGAGCCCUGUGAUGUCUUUGGGGAACCCUGCAGUGUCUUUGGUGAACCCUGCAGUGUCUUUGGUGAACCCUGCAGUGUCUUUGGUGAACCCUGCAGUGUCUUUGGUGAACCCUGCAGUGUCUUUGGUGAACCCUGCAGUGUCUUUGGUGAACCCUGCAGUGUCUUUGGUGAACCCUGCAGUGUCUUUGGUGAACCCUGCAGUGUCUUUGGUGAACCCUGCAGUGUCUUUGGUGAACCCUGCAGUGUCUUUGGUGAACCCUGCAGUGUCUUUGGUGAACCCUGCAGUGUCUUUGGUGAACCCUGCAGUGUCUUUGGUGAACCCUGCAGUGUCUUUGGUGAACCCUGCAGUGUCUUUGGUGAACCCUGCAGUGUCUUUUGUGAACCCUGCAGUGUCUUUGAUAAACCCUGCAGUGUUUUUGGUGAACCCUGCAGUGUUUUUGAGGCUGGCAGGGGAAGUGACUCAUUUCUGAAUGCAGAAUAAACAGCAAGCAGUCAUGGGAUCCCAUUUAAGGGCUGGAGAGACCCCAAAUCCCAUUGAAUCCCACCCCAGCCACGGCAGGGACACCUCCCCCUGCCCCAGGCUGCUCCAGCCCCAGUGUCCAGCCUGGAUCUGAACAUUGCAGGGACCCAGGGGCAGCCACAGCUGCUCCACAGGGAACAAUUCCUGCCCGAAAUCCCAUCCAGCCCCAUCCUCCAUCGUUAUUUCCUUUACUUGAAGCUCUGCUGCUUGGCUCUCAGAGCACCCUGGGGUGCUGUAGGAGGGAGUGCCAGAGGUCUGAGGGCGCAGAUGGUGUCAGAUACCUCACCACGUGCCAGACCAGCACGGGAGAGCAGCCAGGCACCCGUGGGACGUUCCUCGUGAACGGGGGAAGGUUCCUCGGGGACCCUCAAAGAGAUGGGAGGGGAGUGGUUUGGGGGUCCCCCACAGGUCUGCAAAGCUGAACAAGCCACUUGUGUGUUGUGAGACCACUGCUGGAGAGCUGAGGCUAAGAAGUUAAUGACAGACCGGAUUAAAGUAAAUUGAAAUAAAUUAAAUUAAUGACAGGCCUGAUCAAAGCUUAGGUUGGCAGGGAUGUUUAAUUUUUGGAGGACUCAGCUCCCUUUUUAUCCCAAUUUCCUUCUCUCUCUCCCCACUGGCUGAGGUGCUGGAGAGGCACAGACUGCCCAAAACCCUGAUAAACUGAGAUUCCCCUCUCAUGUACAACCCUCCC